AGACAUUAGGAGCAGGCAGUAUCUUUUCUUUUUCUUUUUCUUUCUUUCUUUUUUUUUUUUUUUGACAGGAUGGGCUGGGGUUGGGGGAGGAGGAAGCAAGAAUUAAGCAGAGAAGGCAAGCUCCUUUCUGUUCAUCUAACUCAAACAACCCUGGUUACCAUCUGGUCGGCUGGACCAUGAAUGUUUCAAGGGCAAGGCCAUGUCUGAUUCAAUUCCACAUCCACAGCACGUAAAGCAACGUCUGGCAGAGCAAAGAACUCACCCAUCAAUUGAAUGACAUCAUGGCCAAUCUACGAGUUCUGGCUUACUUCUCAUGCUAUUAUCACAUCUGCCAAGACCCAAGUGACCACCUGGUAAUUACUUCAACAGCAGAGCGACUCAUACAGCCGGCAGUCCACUUUGUUCUUCUAUAGAUCCUGCCUGUGGUGUUGGAUCUAACAGCUUCUUCCCUGACCCAAGAUUAUGAAGGAUUUCUCCUGUGUUCUCUUCUAAAAAUUUUACAUUUAGGUACAUAAUCCAUUUUGAGCUAAUUCUUUUAAAUAGUGCAAAGUAUGGAUUGAAGUUCUUUUUUUUUUUUUUUUUUGCAGAUACAUAUUUAAUUUUUCCAGCACCAUUUGUUGAAAAGACUAAUGUUCUUGCCUGAAUAGCCUUUGCAUUGUUGUUGAAAAUCAUGUUCACACAUGUACACAUUCCACUGAUCUAUUUGCCUCUUUGUGAAAAUACUACUAUUUUGAUUAAUAUAUAUUUAUAGGGAGUCUUAAAAUCAUAUCUUAAAAAGAUAGUGGAAGUUAUUUAACCUUACUCUUGCUUUUAGAAAUUGUUUUGGAUAUUCUAGAUCUUUUGUGUUUCCAUAUAAAUUUUAUAAUCAGUUUGGCAAUUUAUUUAAAAUAUUCUUCUGGGAUUUUGAUGGACAUUACACUGAAUCGAUGGAUCGCUUUGGGGACAACUGACAUCUUAACAAUAUUGAGUCAUCUAACAUAUGAUCAUGGAAAUUGCUCCAUUUAUUUAGAUCUUCUUUCACAUCUUGAAGCAGUGUUUUGCGUUUUCAGUGUAUAGGUAUUUAAUAGAUUUAAAAAUAUGAUCCCUAAAUAUUCAAUGUUUUUGAUGCUAUUGGAAUUUUAAAAAAUUAAUUUCUGUUCUGAGGAAGGAAAAUAAUAAAAGAUUAAACAAGAAAAAUAAAAAUAAUCAAAAUAAAAGAUAAAUCAUUGACAAA
Molecule: long non-coding RNA, 1213 nt
Filed under: Homo sapiens (human)
Lineage: Eukaryota; Metazoa; Chordata; Mammalia; Primates; Hominidae
Description: novel transcript
Source: RNAcentral